GGAGUCUGGGCCGUGUCUCAGUCCCAGUGUGGGGGAUCUUCCUCUCAGAACCCCUAAGCAUCGUCGCCUUGGUGGGCCGUUGCCCCGCCAACUAGCUAAUGCUGCGCGAGCCCAUCCGUGACCAUCGGAAUUUUCAAACGCGGAUCAUGCGGUCCACGUUGUUACGGGGUGUUAGGCGGAGUUUCCUCCGGUUAUCCCCCUGUCACGGGCAGGUUGCUCACGUGUUACGCACCCUUCCGCCGGUCGCCGCCAACGUAUUGCUACAUCGCGCUGCCCCUCGACUUGCAUGUGUUAAGCCUGCCGCUAGCGUUCAUC
Molecule: ribosomal RNA, 315 nt
Filed under: uncultured Bacteroidales bacterium
Lineage: Bacteria; Pseudomonadati; Bacteroidota; Bacteroidia; Bacteroidales
Description: partial 16S ribosomal RNA
Source: RNAcentral